This 301-nucleotide ribosomal RNA is filed under the name uncultured bacterium. RNAcentral describes it as "partial 16S ribosomal RNA". It matches the Rfam family "Bacterial small subunit ribosomal RNA", at positions 509 to 809 of the family's 1533-position model. The record is from RNAcentral.
CAGCAGCCGCGGUAAUACGUAGGUGGCAAGCGUUGUCCGGAAUUAUUGGGCGUAAAGGGCUCGCAGGCGGUUUCUUAAGUCUGAUGUGAAAGCCCCCGGCUCAACCGGGGAGGGUCAUUGGAAACUGGGAAACUUGAGUGCAGAAGAGGAGGGUGGAAUUCCACGUGUAGCGGUGAAAUGCGUAGAGAUGUGGAGGAACACCAGUGGCGAAGGCGACUCUCUGGUCUGUAACUGACGCUGAGGAGCGAAAGCGUGGGGAGCGAACAGGAUUAGAUACCCCCGUAGUCCCUGUCUCUUAUAU